RNAcentral lists this ribosomal RNA (370 nucleotides) under uncultured Glomeromycotina. RNAcentral describes it as "LSU rRNA". The record is from RNAcentral. Lineage: Eukaryota; Fungi; Glomeromycota.
UUGAAAGGGAAACGAUUGAAGUCAGUCGUACUGGCGGGCAAUCAGCCUUUUGGGUAUGAUUAUGUGAGGCUUGAGGAGUUAAUCACCUUCAUCUUUGCAUAUUUGUGCACUUUGGGUGUACUUGCUCGUUUGGUAGGUUAACAUCAAUUUUAGUCAUCCUUAAAUUGCCGGAAGAAAUGUAGCUUCGUUCUCGUAUUGAAGUGUUAUAGCCUUUGGUAGACGUGAUGAUUGGGAUUGAGGAUUGCAACGGAUAUCUUCGGGCUACCUGUCUGAUCUCUGGAAGUUGCUCUGGUGCUGAAAGCUUGCUUAUGGUAUCAAAGUUGACGUCUAAUAGGUUAGAGUGGGUUAAAUUCGUUAAGGAUGUGACGUA